This 582-nucleotide long non-coding RNA is filed under the name Ananas comosus (pineapple). Its description in RNAcentral is "long non-coding RNA (ACOM_LNC035045)". The record is from RNAcentral. Lineage: Eukaryota; Viridiplantae; Streptophyta; Magnoliopsida; Poales; Bromeliaceae.
AAAAAGAAGAAAGAAGGAAGAAAAAAGAUAAAGUCUAGUUUUUGCAGUCAAAGGUGUCUUCGAUCGGAUCUUCAUCGGUUAGCAUCGUAUGUUCCGGACCACAUACGGUAGGUGAAUGAUCAGGAGAAGGCACCAUCACAUGUCCAUCAGGGUUUGCUGCCGACUCCUCAUCCAUUGGAACAGCGUUGGGUUGGUUAAUCAUUUCAAAACAUUCAUUAAUGUUUUCCUUCAAUUUUUCCAAGUCGGCAACAACUCGGUCCCUUUCUGCGACCAAAGAAUUAUAGAACCUUCUAAGAAGGUCGUAGUCUAACUUAAGCAUUUCAUAUUCGUCACGAAGCUCUUCAUGAUCGUGACAAAUCUGAUCGUAUAAACCUCUUAAAUAUUUUCUUUCCUCGUAAUUUGUGUCCUUAACUUCAAAGCCUAGCUCAUUGCGAAGCCUCCCAAUAGCAAUCCUUGCAGCAUCCUCUUGGGUACGAUUAGCAUUCGAAGAUGGUGCGCCCCAACUUGUAAUGACUUCUAUGAUUCGGCUACUUCUUGGAAUUUCAACAUCGACGUAAGAGCAAAAUCUCAAAUCUGCAUCUA